Molecule: long non-coding RNA, 550 nt
Filed under: Olea europaea subsp. europaea
Lineage: Eukaryota; Viridiplantae; Streptophyta; Magnoliopsida; Lamiales; Oleaceae
Source: RNAcentral
CCCGACAGUCCUUAUUUGGCUUCUAAUAUUUUCCCCCAAUUUCAAAACCCUUCCCGACUCUCCAUUACCGUUUCAUCGUCCUUGAUUAAAGACGGCGAGACUACACCAUGAAAAGUAUCUCUAGCUCCUGCCAUCUUCAAAAAAGGUGAAGAAGAAGAAUAGUCCACCAUGAAAUCGAAGAUUCGUGGAAAUCGAAGAAGUUCGAACGUUGUCCAUCUUUCACCGCCACGAAGCAUCCUCCACCGCCCAACUGAAGAUGACACCUUUUUUCGUCUAUACUUCUCAAGUAAAUGUGUGACGUCUAACCUUAGGUCAGAGGAUGAAAUCUCUGUGACAGCCAUGAAGUCAUCGAACUGAAACGAAGCGAAAUUGCAAAAUUUUUUUUUGUAAAAAUAAUGGAAAGAAUUAAAUGGGUAGUUUUUGUUUUUGUAAUUAAAAGUUGAAGAACAAACAAAUUGGUUAAAGAAAUAAAAAAUGUUGUAGAAGUGCAAUUUGAUGGGUUGACAUAUUGAACAUUUAUUAUUGUCAAAUUCAGACAUGUUGUGGAACU